GACGAACGCUGGCGGCGUGCUUAACACAUGCAAGUCGAGCGGAGCGGCGAACGGGUGAGUAACGCGUGAGUAACUGACCCCCUCUCUGGGAUCACAGUUGGAAACGGCUGCUAAUACCGGAUAGUGGGGGAUGACUCGGGUCCUAUCAGCUUGUUGGUGGGGUAGUGUCCUACCAAGGCGACGACGGGUAGCCGGCCUGAGCGGGGGACCGGCCACCUUGGGCUGCGAGAGGGCCCAGACGCGUACGGUAGGCAACAGUGGGGAAUAUUGCGCAGUGGGGCAGAGUGUGUUGAGAAGACGCCGGGUGCGGAAUGACGGCUUUGGGGUUGUAAACCGCUUUCAGUCAAGACGCGUUAGUUGCAGAAGAAGCACCGGCUAACUACGUGCCAGCCGCCGCGGUAAUAC
This 405-nucleotide ribosomal RNA is filed under the name uncultured bacterium. RNAcentral describes it as "partial 16S ribosomal RNA". It matches the Rfam family "Bacterial small subunit ribosomal RNA", at positions 28 to 526 of the family's 1533-position model. The record is from RNAcentral.